GUCCGUUCUGGACCCUAUGACUCUGUUCCACAUGUCUUCAGUCCGUUCUGGACCCCAUGACUCGGACACUAGUUCUACCAAGGCUCAUUAGAGAGUGCUUCAGAGGAUGGCUGAAUUCACAAAACGUGGAGAAGACCGAGAAGGAGAAGUUGGCCGGUUACUACAUUUCACAAAAAAUACAGGACCUUGU
Trematomus bernacchii (emerald rockcod) is the source of this 190-nucleotide long non-coding RNA. RefSeq lists it as uncharacterized. NCBI's taxonomy places the organism in Eukaryota, Metazoa, Chordata, Actinopteri, Perciformes, Nototheniidae. The transcript has 2 exons. The record is from RefSeq and is a predicted model, not a curated record.